CAUAUGCUCCCUCUGUCGGGAAUUACUUGUUGUAGAAAUGGAUGUAUCUAGACGUAUUUUAGUUCUAGAUACAUCCAUUUUUAUUCAUUUCUGCGACAAGUAAUUCGGGACGGAGGGAGUAUCUC
Non-coding RNA from Triticum aestivum (bread wheat), 125 nucleotides. Lineage: Eukaryota; Viridiplantae; Streptophyta; Magnoliopsida; Poales; Poaceae. The record is from Rfam.